RNAcentral lists this ribosomal RNA (429 nucleotides) under bacterium. RNAcentral's name for it is "partial 16S ribosomal RNA". It matches the Rfam family "Bacterial small subunit ribosomal RNA", at positions 355 to 776 of the family's 1533-position model. The record is from RNAcentral.
UAGGGAAUCUUCCACAAUGGACGCAAGUCUGAUGGAGCAACGCCGCGUGAGUGAAGAAGGUUUUCGGAACGUAAAGCUCUGUUGUUGGUGAAGAAGGAUAGAGGUAGUAACUGGCCUUUAUUUGACGGUAAUCAACCAGAAAGUCACGGCUAACUACGUGCCAGCAGCCGCGGUAAUACGUAGGUGGCAAGCGUUGUCCGGAUUUAUUGGGCGUAAAGCGAGCGCAGGCGGAAGAAUAAGUCUGAUGUGAAAGCCCUCGGCUUAACCGAGGAACUGCAUCGGAAACUGUUUUUCUUGAGUGCAGAAGAGGAGAGUGGAAUUCCAUGUGUAGCGGUGGAAUGCGUAGAUAUAUGGAAGAACACCAGUGGCGAAGGCGACUCUCUGGUCUGCAACUGACGCUGAGGCUCGAAAGCAUGGGUAGCGAACAGG